Molecule: ribosomal RNA, 485 nt
Filed under: uncultured bacterium
Lineage: Bacteria
Description: partial 16S ribosomal RNA
Rfam family: Bacterial small subunit ribosomal RNA
Source: RNAcentral
UGGGGAAUUUUGGACAAUGGGCGAAAGCCUGAUCCAGCAAUGCCGCGUGUGUGAAGAAGGCCUUCGGGUUGUAAAGCACUUUUGUCCGGAAAGAAAUCCUUGGCUCUAAUACAGUCGGGGGAUGACGGUACCGGAAGAAUAAGCACCAGCUAACUACGUGCCAGCAGCCGCGGUAAUACGUAGGGUGCAAGCGUUAAUCGGAAUUACUGGGCGUAAAGCGUGCGCAGGCGGUUUGCUAAGACCGAUGUGAAAUCCCCGGGCUCAACCUGGGAACUGCAUUGGUGACUGGCAGGCUAGAGUAUGGCAGAGGGGGGUAGAAUUCCACGUGUAGCAGUGAAAUGCGUAGAGAUGUGGAGGAAUACCGAUGGCGAAGGCAGCCCCCUGGGCCAAAUACUGACGCUCAUGCACGAAAGCGUGGGGAGCAAACAGGAUUAGAUACCCUGGUAGUCCACGCCCUAAACGAUGUCAACUAGUUGUUGGGGGCA